This 467-nucleotide ribosomal RNA is filed under the name uncultured bacterium. RNAcentral's name for it is "partial 16S ribosomal RNA". It matches the Rfam family "Bacterial small subunit ribosomal RNA", at positions 28 to 507 of the family's 1533-position model. The record is from RNAcentral.
GAUGAACGCUGGCGGCGUGCUUAACACAUGCGAGUCGAACGGAAAGGCUCCUGCUUGCCGGGGUACUCGAGUGGCGAACGGGUGAGUAACACGUGGGUGAUCUGCCCUGCACUUCGGGAUAAGCCUGGGAAACUGGGUCUAAUACCGGAUAGGACCACAUUUUGGAUGGUGUGGUGGAAAGUUUUUCGGUGUGGGAUGAGCUCGCGGCCCAUCAGCUUGUUGGUGGGGUAAUGGCCUACCAAGGCGUCGACGGGUAGCCGGCCUGAGAGGGUGUACGGCCACAUUGGGACUGAGAUACGGCCCAGACUCCUACGGGAGGCAGCAGUGGGGAAUAUUGCACAAUGGGCGCAAGCCUGAUGCAGCGACGCCGCGUGGGGGAUGACGGCCUUCGGGUUGUAAACUCCUUUCGCUAGGGACGAAGCGUUUUUGUGACGGUUCCUGGAGAAGAAGCACCGGCUAACUACGUG